GUACCGCUGAGGCAUCCCACAAUAGGACGAAACGAUCGUCCGGUGC
This 46-nucleotide non-coding RNA is filed under the name Schistosoma margrebowiei. Lineage: Eukaryota; Metazoa; Platyhelminthes; Trematoda; Strigeidida; Schistosomatidae. The record is from RNAcentral.